This 497-nucleotide ribosomal RNA is filed under the name uncultured bacterium. RNAcentral describes it as "partial 16S ribosomal RNA". It matches the Rfam family "Bacterial small subunit ribosomal RNA", at positions 28 to 507 of the family's 1533-position model. The record is from RNAcentral.
GAUGAACGCUGGCGGCGUGCCUAAUACAUGCAAGUCGAGCGAACAGACGAGGAGCUUGCUCCUCUGACGUUAGCGGCGGACUGGUGAGUAACACGUGGAUAACCUACCUAUAAGACUGGGAUAACUUCGGGAAACCGGAGCUAAUACCGGAUAAUAUAUUGAACCGCAUGGUUCAAUAGUGAAAGACGGUUUUGCUGUCACUUAUAGAUGGAUCCGCGCCGCCUUAGCUAGUUGGUAAGGUAACGGCUUACCAAGGCAACGAUGCGUAGCCGACCUGAGAGGGUGAUCGGCCACACUGGAACUGGGCCACGGUCCAGACUCCUACGGGAGGCAGCAGUAGGGAAUCUUCCGCAAUGGGCGAAAGCCUGACGGAGCAACGCCGCGUGAGUGAUGAAGGUCUUCGGAUCGUAAAACUCUGUUAUUAGGGAAGAACAAAUGUGUAAGUAACUAUGCACGUCUUGACGGUACCUAAUCAGAAAGCCACGGCUAACUACGUG